RNAcentral lists this non-coding RNA (45 nucleotides) under Trichobilharzia regenti. The record is from RNAcentral. Lineage: Eukaryota; Metazoa; Platyhelminthes; Trematoda; Strigeidida; Schistosomatidae.
GUCCAGAUGAUGGGUCCCAAAUAGGACGAAAUGCGCAUCCUGGAC